GAAUCCGCUAAGGAGUGUGUAAGAACUCACCUGCCGAAUGAAUUAGCCCUGAAAAUGGAUGGCGCUCAAGCGGGCAGCCGACACUGCACCAUUUAAGCUAUUUAUGUCUUAAAUGAGUAGGAGGAACGUGGCGGUUGUACAGAAGCGUAUCCGCAAGGAUGCGUGGAACGGCCGCUAGUGCAGAUCUUGGUGGUAGUAGCAAAUAUUCAAAUGAGAUCCUUGAAGGACCAAGCGGGGAAGGGUUCCACACGAACAUUGCUUGAGUGUGGGUUAGUCGGUCCUAAGCCAUCUGGCAAUUGCUAGAUACUGGCGAAAGGGAAGCAGGUAAAGAUUCCUGCACCUAGGUAUAGAUGUUUACACGUCCGAGUUGUCUCAGAGAAGCUGUGGUUGUAGUCCCCUUGCAGAGAUUUCUUUUCUGUUUGACGCCAUUACGGUCCUGAAACCCAUUUGCUGGGAGUAGGGACCGAUUCCAUUGAUGGUAGAGCAUAGGAUUUCUUUCCUAUGUUUGGGUUGAUUCCUGCAGACCUUGAAAAUCUGAGCGCACCUGUAUUUGCUUUUAGCUUUGCAGGGGGCGAUUCUAUCCUAGCCCGUACCCAUGACCGCAUCAGGUCCCCAAGGUGAACAGCCUCUGUCCAAUAUGAAUAAUGCAGGUAAGGGAAGUCGGCA
Molecule: ribosomal RNA, 666 nt
Filed under: Acanthophora spicifera
Lineage: Eukaryota; Rhodophyta; Florideophyceae; Ceramiales; Rhodomelaceae
Description: eukaryotic LSU rRNA
Rfam family: Eukaryotic large subunit ribosomal RNA
Source: RNAcentral